RNAcentral lists this ribosomal RNA (779 nucleotides) under uncultured Enterobacteriaceae bacterium. RNAcentral describes it as "bacterial SSU rRNA". It matches the Rfam family "Bacterial small subunit ribosomal RNA", at positions 28 to 797 of the family's 1533-position model. The record is from RNAcentral. Lineage: Bacteria; Pseudomonadati; Pseudomonadota; Gammaproteobacteria; Enterobacterales; Enterobacteriaceae.
AUUGAACGCUGGCGGCAGGCCUAACACAUGCAAGUCGAACGGUAACAGGAAGAAGCUUGCUUCUUUGCUGACGAGUGGCGGACGGGUGAGUAAUGUCUGGGAAACUGCCUGAUGGAGGGGGAUAACUACUGGAAACGGUAGCUAAUACCGCAUAACGUCGCAAGACCAAAGAGGGGGACCUUCGGGCCUCUUGCCAUCGGAUGUGCCCAGAUGGGAUUAGCUAGUAGGUGGGGUAACGGCUCACCUAGGCGACGAUCCCUAGCUGGUCUGAGAGGAUGACCAGCCACACUGGAACUGAGACACGGUCCAGACUCCUACGGGGGGCAGCAGUGGGGAAUAUUGCACAAUGGGCGCAAGCCUGAUGCAGCCAUGCCGCGUGUAUGAAGAAGGCCUUCGGGUUGUAAAGUACUUUCAGCGGGGAGGAAGGGAGUAAAGUUAAUACCUUUGCUCAUUGACGUUACCCGCAGAAGAAGCACCGGCUAACUCCGUGCCAGCAGCCGCGGUAAUACGGAGGGUGCAAGCGUUAAUCGGGAAUUACUGGGCGUAAAGCGCACGCAGGCGGUUUGUUAAGUCAGAUGUGAAAUCCCCGGGCUCAACCUGGGAACUGCAUCUGAUACUGGCAAGCUUGAGUCUCGUAUAGGGGGGGUAGAAUUCCAGGUGUAACGGUGAAAUGCGUAAAGAUCUGGGAGGAAACCGGUGGGAAGGGGGCCCCCUGGACGAAAACUGGCGCUCAGGUGCGAAGCGUGGGGGGAAACAGGAGUAGAUCCCCUGGUGGUCCA